This 167-nucleotide unclassified non-coding RNA is filed under the name uncultured Chaetothyriales. Its description in RNAcentral is "sequence contains ITS2". The record is from RNAcentral. Lineage: Eukaryota; Fungi; Ascomycota; Eurotiomycetes; Chaetothyriales.
UCACCCCUCAAGCUCCGGCUUGGUGUUGGGCUACUUGGUUUGGCCACAAACCGGUCUCAAAGAUAGUGACGGCGUCCUGGAAGGAGCCCGUACGAGGAGCUUUUCGUUAAGCAUGUACGCGGUAUGAUUCUCGGGGCGACGGUCUUUACCUAGUACUUAUACCAGUG